Nicrophorus vespilloides is the source of this 487-nucleotide long non-coding RNA. RefSeq lists it as uncharacterized. The transcript is spliced from 2 exons. The record is from RefSeq and is a predicted model, not a curated record. Lineage: Eukaryota; Metazoa; Arthropoda; Insecta; Coleoptera; Silphidae.
AAUAAUAAAUUGACAGACUUUGUGUUGUUAUUUUCUUAAUGUUCUUAAUAGAUAGCCUAUCGAUUAGGGUUAUCGCCGCUUCAAUUGCUAAUUACUAUCGAGGCUGCAGUUUGCAGUCUAAUGAAGUAAGUAUCUAAAGGACUUCCAAGAUGUAUCUUCGCUGUGCUUUAAUUCUCUUAAUCUUAAGCGUUAACGUUCUAUGCUUUCCAAUUGAAGAUAAAUUCACUGAAGAAAUGCAACAAGCAUUAAAACCACUAAAUGUGGAUGCAAUCCUUGCAGCAGUAGAUAACCUGAUCAAAUCUAUGGAUAAGAACGUUACCACAACCAUUUCGGAUACACAUAUUGAAAUACUCGUAAAAAUCGGGGAAAGAAAAUCGAAUGUAUCGAGUCUGGAUGUAAAAAAUAAAAAUUAAUCCAUAUUCAAAGUCGAUAUGGAAUGAAAAAUAUAAGUACGUGUGAACAAUUUAAAUAAAGAAUAUACAGUUUA